This 341-nucleotide long non-coding RNA is filed under the name Mytilus galloprovincialis (Mediterranean mussel). The record is from RNAcentral. Lineage: Eukaryota; Metazoa; Mollusca; Bivalvia; Mytilida; Mytilidae.
GGGGGGUCGGCCUAUUCUAGGACUUCUAGAGAAAAAUAAUGAGGGGUGUCACGGGGAAUGACUAUAUAGGUCUUGAAGAGGAGAAACAGGCGCUUUUUUUGCGCUAGGUAUCGAAGGGCACUAUGUUCAAAAAUCUGAAACUAGAGCUCAAAAUUUGAAAAAAAUGUCAAAAAAUUUGGGGGGUCGGCCUAUUCUAGGACUUCUAGAGAAAAAUAAUGAGGGGUGUCACGGGGUAUGACUAUAUAGGUCUUGUAGAAAAGAAACAGGCGCUCCUUUUGCACUAGGUAUCGAAGAGCGCUAUGUUCAAAAAUCUGAAACUAGAGCUCAAAAUUUGAAAAAAA